GAGCCGCUCGCCGCAGGAGCUCCUUUCAAGGGGAAAAAAUGGAUUUUUCGGCAGCCACAAAGUUUGUAUUGUUGCACAAAGAGGUGCAUUGAUGAGGUCGGGAGGUCCGCAUGGCGGUGACAAUCUUGGGUCUGUUCCGCAGACUCCCUACGCCUACCAUUUGCCAGAGGGGCACAAACAGUCUCCGGCCGCCAAGCCUCGGCCAUCCCGCCUCAGCACUCGGCUCCGAUAUUAUUGGCAAACACGGCAGGUCCAGGCGCCCGGGGCCCCAGGAGCCAGGAGACGAGCCGGGCCCUGGGGAACCAAGGGUGCCCACUCCACCCGGGCAGCGAUCUGGGUUCCAAGUGCUCAAGGAGGACCGCGCAGGAGAGAGCGUAGGGCGGAUUUGAGGCUGGAAAGAGCAAGAGAAAGGUAUCGGGGAGAGGCAGGAGAUCCAGUGGAGGAACCCUGACCAUGUCCUUGCGAGGUGCCCGCACUGGGCAAAGCACUUGGCAAUUCCAGCGCCAGGAGCACAUCCCCGAAGACCUCUCGCCGCCCCACUAGAGACUGACAGGGUCCCCCACUUUCCCUCUUUACGAGUCUCCCAGACUCCUUGUUCUCGCUCCCCCUCCAACCAGCGUGCUGGUUCAGCCCACGCUGCAUUCUGGGGGAGACUCCCCCCAACCAGAGGAAAAGAGGCUGGUAGCCCCAGAAUGUUCGCAACGGCACGGCCCAGGGGCAGCAUCUGGCCGGCAGGUCCUGAAACGGCGUUUCAAGGACACAGCCCCCGUCUAGGCGCCGCCACCGGGUGAGGGUCCCGGCACCUGGCUGGUCUCCACCUCUUGUCAGCCUGCGCUCUCUGGUCAGUCUCGGACUCCCUUGGGAUUUCCUCCUCGACGCCGCGUGGUCUGGGGACCCGGCCCCGGAGCGCCAGGGGAUCGGGGCGCAAAGACCCUCCCCCUCCCGGGCCCUCCCGCCGCCGCGGCCUCCCACGUAGCGUUUUGAACCCUCUUGGCGCUAAGGCAAGAACGAGCGUGGGGAGCGGGCCGGGCCAGCAGAGGCUCUAAAUCUUCCUUCAAUCUGUGAGUCGAUGAAGUCUGAGAAACAAAUUCAAAGCAGGCGCGCCUGCAGAGCCUUCCUGCAGAAAUAUUCCCCGGCAUUCAAGCGCAUCCAGGGGCGGCUCGAGCUGCCUUGUUUGGCUAAGGUCAGACGAGACUCGAGUUCUCCAAUAAAAAUAAAUCUCAAAUUAAUUAUGGCCUCGAGCGAGGGGCCAGACACUUGAAGCUGCAGUUGUGCAGUCUGGAGUUUUGGCGCUCGUUCGCCCGUCCCUCCCCCGCGCGCCCUCCCCCACCCCCCUUGCCAGCUCGAAUACCCGCCGAGGACGCCGGACCGGAGGGGCCGGGAGGAGGGAGGACGAAAGGGGAAGGACCCGCCCGAGACGCCC
Molecule: long non-coding RNA, 1423 nt
Organism: Globicephala melas (long-finned pilot whale)
Lineage: Eukaryota; Metazoa; Chordata; Mammalia; Artiodactyla; Delphinidae
Source: RefSeq, a predicted model, not a curated record